Molecule: ribosomal RNA, 375 nt
Filed under: Escherichia coli
Lineage: Bacteria; Pseudomonadati; Pseudomonadota; Gammaproteobacteria; Enterobacterales; Enterobacteriaceae
Description: partial 23S ribosomal RNA
Rfam family: Bacterial large subunit ribosomal RNA
Source: RNAcentral
GGGGUGAAAGGCCAAUCAAACCGGGAGAUAGCUGGUUCUCCCCGAAAGCUAUUUAGGUAGCGCCUCGUGAAUUCAUCUCCGGGGGUAGAGCACUGUUUCGGCAAGGGGGUCAUCCCGACUUACCAACCCGAUGCAAACUGCGAAUACCGGAGAAUGUUAUCACGGGAGACACACGGCGGGUGCUAACGUCCGUCGUGAAGAGGGAAACAACCCAGACCGCCAGCUAAGGUCCCAAAGUCAUGGUUAAGUGGGAAACGAUGUGGGAAGGCCCAGACAGCCAGGAUGUUGGCUUAGAAGCAGCCAUCAUUUAAAGAAAGCGUAAUAGCUCACUGGUCGAGUCGGCCUGCGCGGAAGAUGUAACGGGGCUAAACCAUG